UGGCGGACGGGUGAGUAACGCGUGGAAACCUGCCGUAUACUGGGGGAUAACACUUAGAAAUAGGUGCUAAUACCGCAUAAGCGCACAGCUUCGCAUGAAGCGGUGUGAAAAACUCUGGUGGUAUACGAUGGUUCCGCGUCUGAUUAGCUAGUUGGUGGGGUAAUGGCCUACCAAGGCAACGAUCAGUAGCCGGCCUGAGAGGGUGAACGGCCACAUUGGGACUGAGACACGGCCCAAACUCCUACGGAAGGCAGCAG
RNAcentral lists this ribosomal RNA (257 nucleotides) under uncultured bacterium. RNAcentral describes it as "partial 16S ribosomal RNA". It matches the Rfam family "Bacterial small subunit ribosomal RNA", at positions 96 to 354 of the family's 1533-position model. The record is from RNAcentral.